GAUGAACGCUGGCGGCGUGCCUAAUACAUGCAAGUCGAGCGAACGGACGAGAAGCUUGCUUCUCUGAUGUUAGCGGCGGACGGGUGAGUACCACGUGGAUAACCUACCUAUAAGACUGGGAUAACUUCGGGAAACCGGAGCUAAUACCGGAUGAUAUUUUGAACCGCAUGGUUCAACAGUGAAAGACGGUCUUGCUGUCACUUAUAGAUGGAUCCGCGCUGCAUUAGCUAGUUGGUAAGGUAACGGCUUACCAAGGCAACGAUGCAUAGCCGACCUGAGAGGGUGAUCGGCCACACUGGAACUGAGACACGGUCCAGACUCCUACGGGAGGCAGCAGUAGGGAAUCUUCCGCAAUGGGCGAAAGCCUGACGGAGCAACGCCGCGUGAGUGAUGAAGGUCUUCGGAUCGUAAAACUCUGUUAUUAGGGAAGAACAUAUGUGUAAGUAACUGUGCACAUCUUGACGGUACCUAAACAGAAAGCCACGGCUAACUACGUG
This 497-nucleotide ribosomal RNA is filed under the name uncultured bacterium. RNAcentral describes it as "partial 16S ribosomal RNA". It matches the Rfam family "Bacterial small subunit ribosomal RNA", at positions 28 to 507 of the family's 1533-position model. The record is from RNAcentral.